GAUGAACGCUAGCGGCAGGCCUAACACAUGCAAGUCGAGGGGCAGCACAGAAACAGCAAUGUUUUGGUGGCGACCGGCGGACGGGUGCGUAACGCGUAUGCAACCUACCUUUAACAGGGGGAUAACGGAGAGAAAUUUCCACUAAUACCCCAUAACAUCGAUCAAGGCAUCUUGAUUGGUUGAAAACUCCGGUGGUUAAAGAUGGGCAUGCGUUGUAUUAGGUAGUUGGGGAGGUAAUGGCUCACCAAGCCUACGAUACAUAGGGGGACGGAGAGGUUAGCCGCCCACACUGGUACGGAGAAACGGACCAGACUCCUACGGGAGGCAGCAGUGAGGAAUAUUGGUCAAUGGGGGCAACCCUGAACCAGCCAUGCCGCGUGCAGGAAGACGGCUCUAUGAGUUGUAAACUGCUUUUAAACAGGGAUAAAGCACAGUAUGUAUACUGUGUUGAAGGUACUGUAAGAAUAAGGAUCGGCUAACUCCGUGCCAGCCGCCGCCGUAA
This 502-nucleotide ribosomal RNA is filed under the name uncultured bacterium. Its description in RNAcentral is "partial 16S ribosomal RNA". It matches the Rfam family "Bacterial small subunit ribosomal RNA", at positions 28 to 523 of the family's 1533-position model. The record is from RNAcentral.